RNAcentral lists this transfer RNA (67 nucleotides) under Indonemoura jacobsoni. RNAcentral's name for it is "tRNA-Phe". Lineage: Eukaryota; Metazoa; Arthropoda; Insecta; Plecoptera; Nemouridae. The record is from RNAcentral.
ACUUAAAUAGCUUAUAUAAUAGAGCAUGACAUUGAAGCUGUCAGGGAAACUUCGUAGUUUUUAAGUA